This 873-nucleotide ribosomal RNA is filed under the name uncultured bacterium. Its description in RNAcentral is "bacterial SSU rRNA". It matches the Rfam family "Bacterial small subunit ribosomal RNA", at positions 21 to 880 of the family's 1533-position model. The record is from RNAcentral.
GGCUCAGGACGAACGCUGGCGGCGCGCUUAACACAUGCAAGUCGAGCGAGAACCGGGACUUCGGUCCCGGGGACAGCGGCGAACGGGUGAGUAACACGUGGGUAAUCUGCCCUCGGUUCUGGGAUAGCCCGGGGAAACCCGGAUUAAUACCGGAUAGCCUCUCUGGCCCUCGGGCCGGCGAGAAAAGGUAGCUUCGGCCUCCGACUGAGGAUGAGCCCGCGGCGGAUUAGCUUGUUGGCGGGGUAACGGCCCACCAAGGCGACGAUCCGUAGCUGGUCUGAGAGGACGAUCAGCCACACUGGGACUGAGACACGGCCCAGACUCCUACGGGAGGCAGCAGUGGGGAAUCUUGCGCAAUGGGCGAAAGCCUGACGCAGCGACGCCGCGUGGGGGAAGAAGGCCUUCGGGUUGUAAACCUCUUUCAGGGGGGACGAAGCCACUCGGGUGAACAGCCCAGAGGGUGACGGUACCUUCAGAAGAAGCCCCGGCUAACUACGUGCCAGCAGCCGCGGUAAUACGUAGGGGGCAAGCGUUGUCCGGAUUUAUUGGGCGUAAAGAGCGUGUAGGCGGCCAGGUAGGUCGGUUGUGAAAACUAGAGGCUCAACCUCUAGACGUCGACCGAAACCAUCUGGCUAGAGUCCGGAAGAGGAGAGUGGAAUUCCUGGUGUAGCGGUGAAAUGCGCAGAUAUCAGGAAGAACACCCGUGGCGAAAGCGGCUCUCUGGGACGGUACUGACGCUGAGACGCGAAAGCGUGGGGAGCGAACAGGAUUAGAUACCCUGGUAGUCCACGCCGUAAACGAUGGGUGCUAGGUGUGGGAGGUGUCGACUCCUCCCGUGCCGCAGCUAACGCAUUAAGCACCCCGCCUGGGGAG